Molecule: transfer RNA, 73 nt
Filed under: Oryzias latipes (Japanese medaka)
Lineage: Eukaryota; Metazoa; Chordata; Actinopteri; Beloniformes; Adrianichthyidae
Description: tRNA-Tyr (GTA) (tRNA-Tyr-GTA-6-1)
Rfam family: tRNA
About the family: Transfer RNA (tRNA) molecules are approximately 80 nucleotides in length. Their secondary structure includes four short double-helical elements and three loops (D, anti-codon, and T loops).
Source: RNAcentral
CCUUCGAAAGCUCAGUUGGUAGAGCGGAGGACUGUAGAUCCUUAGGUCGCUGGUUCAAUUCCGGCUCGAAAGA